This 429-nucleotide ribosomal RNA is filed under the name uncultured Gammaproteobacteria bacterium. Its description in RNAcentral is "bacterial SSU rRNA". It matches the Rfam family "Bacterial small subunit ribosomal RNA", at positions 958 to 1385 of the family's 1533-position model. Lineage: Bacteria; Pseudomonadati; Pseudomonadota; Gammaproteobacteria. The record is from RNAcentral.
AACGCGAAGAACCUUACCUACCCUUGACAUCCUGCGAAUCCCGAUGAGAGUUGGGAGUGCCGAAAGGAACGCAGAGACAGGUGCUGCAUGGCUGUCGUCAGCUCGUGUUGUGAGAUGUUGGGUUAAGUCCCGUAACGAGCGCAACCCUUGUCCUUAGUUACCAGCAAGUAAAGUUGGGGACUCUAAGGAGACUGCCGGUGAUGAACCGGAGGAAGGCGGGGACGACGUCAAGUCAUCAUGGCCUUUAUGGGUAGGGCUACACACGUGCUACAAUGGGGCGUACAGAGGGUAGCCAACCCGCGAGGGGGAGCCAAUCUCAGAAAGCGCCUCGUAGUCCGGAUUGGAGUCUGCAACUCGACUCCAUGAAGUUGGAAUCGCUAGUAAUCGCGAAUCAGCAUUGUCGCGGUGAAUACGUUCCCGGGCCUUGUA